RNAcentral lists this ribosomal RNA (492 nucleotides) under uncultured bacterium. RNAcentral's name for it is "partial 16S ribosomal RNA". It matches the Rfam family "Bacterial small subunit ribosomal RNA", at positions 29 to 507 of the family's 1533-position model. The record is from RNAcentral.
AGUGAACGCUGGCGGUAGGCCUAACACAUGCAAGUCGAACGGCAGCACAGUAAGAGCUUGCUCUUACGGGUGGCGAGUGGCGGACGGGUGCUGAAUACAUCGGAAUCUACUUUUUCGUGGGGGAUAACGUAGGGAAACUUACGCUAAUACCGCAUACGACCUACGGGUGAAAGCAGGGGAUCUUCGGACCUUGCGCGAUUGAAUGAGCCGAUGUCGGAUUAGCUAGUUGGCGGGGUAAAGGCCCACCAAGGCGACGAUCCGUAGCUGGUCUGAGAGGAUGAUCAGCCACACUGGAACUGAGACACGGUCCAGACUCCUACGGGAGGCAGCAGUGGGGAAUAUUGGACAAUGGGCGAAAGCCUGAUCCAGCCAUACCGCGUGUGUGAAGAAGGCCUUCGGGUUGUAAAGCCCUUUUGUUGGGAAAGAAAAGCAGCAGGUUAAUACCCCGCUGUUCUGACGGUACCAAAAGAAUAAGCACCGGCUAACUUCGUG